This is a long non-coding RNA of Pygocentrus nattereri (red-bellied piranha), 588 nucleotides long. RefSeq lists it as uncharacterized. The transcript has 2 exons. Lineage: Eukaryota; Metazoa; Chordata; Actinopteri; Characiformes; Serrasalmidae. The record is from RefSeq and is a predicted model, not a curated record.
GGAGCCGGGUCAGAGUCGAAGAUGACCUGAGCACAGGGGUUUAUCCACAUCUACAGCAGAAAGAAAGAGAGAGAGACGAAGAGCCACAGAUUUCCACAGCUCCAGCGCCAACAUGCCAGCCUUUCGGUCAGCCGAAGAGGAGCUCUCGUACCUGUGCUGGUCGAAGGGGUACGUGAUGAACUUUGGGUCAAACGGGAUGUCAGGGAGGCUGUUGCAGUACUUAACACGGCACACAACACCUGACCUGAGGGAAAGGAGAAGAAAACAGUCCGUAUUAAACCUCCACCUGUAAAACCUGCUGUAAAAGCCAUGAUUAAACCCAUCGCUGGGGUCGGCGUCUGUUAACCGAUACUGAACACUGAGAUAUAUUAACGUCAGUCAUACGGUACCUUUCGGGUAUGGCUCUGUGCGAAGAGCUCCUGUAUCACAGGGAAAAAUAAAAAGAUAAACAAUUAGGGCAGAAAUACAUCAUACAGAAGAUGACAAACCUGAUGAGACUAACAAACAACAAAGACUGAAUAAACAACCACAGAAUGUCCUGAAAGUGGGAACCUAAAUACCUAAAUAAAGUGUGUUUUUAAUACUUUA